GACGAACGCUGGCGGCGUGCUUAACACAUGCAAGUCGAACGGACAGGCCCUGCUUUUGUGGGGUGCUCGAGUGGCGAACGGGUGAGUAACACGUGAGUAACCUGCCCUUGACUUUGGGAUAACUUCAGGAAACUGGGGCUAAUACCGGAUAGGAGCUCCUGCUGCAUGGUGGGGGUUGGAAAGUUUCGGCGGUUGGGGAUGGACUGGCGGCUUAUCAGCUUGUUGGUGGGGUAGUGGCUUACCAAGGCUUUGACGGGUAGCCGGCCUGAGAGGGUGACCGGCGACAUUGGGACUAAGAGACGGCCCAGACUCCUACGGGAGGCAGCAGUGGGGAAUAUGGCACAAUGGGCGGAAGCCAGAUGCAGCAACGCCGCGUGCGGGAUGACGGCCUUCGGGUUGUAAACCGCUUUCGCCUGUGACGAAGCGGGAGUGACGGUAAUGGGUAAAGAAGCACCGGCUAACUACGUG
Molecule: ribosomal RNA, 468 nt
Filed under: uncultured bacterium
Lineage: Bacteria
Description: partial 16S ribosomal RNA
Rfam family: Bacterial small subunit ribosomal RNA
Source: RNAcentral